GAUGAACGCUGGCGGCGUGCUUAACACAUGCAAGUCGAACGGUGAAGCAGGAGCUUGCUCUUGUGGAUCAGUGGCGAACGGGUGAGUAACACGUGAGCAACCUGCCCCUGACUCUGGGAUAAGCGCUGGAAACGGCGUCUAAUACUGGAUAUGUGAUGUGACCGCAUGGUCUGCAUCUGGAAAGAAUUUCGGUUGGGGAUGGGCUCGCGGCCUAUCAGCUUGUUGGUGAGGUAAUGGCCCACCAAGGCGUCGACGGGUAGCCGGCCUGAGAGGGUGACCGGCCACACUGGGACUGAGACACGGCCCAGACUCCUACGGGAGGCAGCAGUGGGGAAUAUUGCACAAUGGGCGGAAGCCUGAUGCAGCAACGCCGCGUGAGGGAUGACGGCCUUCGGGUUGUAAACCUCUUUUAGCAGGGAAGAAGCGAAAGUGACGGUACCUGCGGAAAAAGCACCGGCUAACUACGUGCCAGCAGCCGCGGUAA
This 484-nucleotide ribosomal RNA is filed under the name uncultured bacterium. RNAcentral describes it as "partial 16S ribosomal RNA". It matches the Rfam family "Bacterial small subunit ribosomal RNA", at positions 28 to 523 of the family's 1533-position model. The record is from RNAcentral.